UACGAAGGGUGCGAGCGUUAAUCGGAAUUACUGGGCGUAAAGCGCGCGUAGGUGGUUCAUUAAGUUAGGAGUGAAAGCCCCGGGCUCAACCUGGGAAUUGCUUCUAAAACUGGUGGGCUAGAGUACAGUAGAGGGUGGUGGAAUUUCCUGUGUAGCGGUGAAAUGCGUAGAUAUAGGAAGGAACAUCAGUGGCGAAGGCGACCACCUGGACUGAUACUGACACUGAGGUGCGAAAGCGUGGGGAGCAAACAGG
RNAcentral lists this ribosomal RNA (253 nucleotides) under uncultured Pseudomonas sp. RNAcentral describes it as "partial 16S ribosomal RNA". It matches the Rfam family "Bacterial small subunit ribosomal RNA", at positions 524 to 776 of the family's 1533-position model. The record is from RNAcentral. Lineage: Bacteria; Pseudomonadati; Pseudomonadota; Gammaproteobacteria; Pseudomonadales; Pseudomonadaceae.